Capsicum annuum is the source of this 72-nucleotide non-coding RNA. Lineage: Eukaryota; Viridiplantae; Streptophyta; Magnoliopsida; Solanales; Solanaceae. The record is from Rfam.
GGCGACAUGGCCGAGUGGUAAGGCAGAGGACUGCAAAUUCUUUUUUUCCCAGUUCAAAUUCGGGUGUCGCCU